RNAcentral lists this ribosomal RNA (524 nucleotides) under uncultured bacterium. RNAcentral's name for it is "partial 16S ribosomal RNA". It matches the Rfam family "Bacterial small subunit ribosomal RNA", at positions 28 to 523 of the family's 1533-position model. The record is from RNAcentral.
GACGAACGCUGGCGGCGUGCCUAAUACAUGCAAGUCGAACGAAGCUUUUUUAACUGGUGCUUGUACCGACUUAAACAACUGAGUGGCGAACGGGUGAGUAACACGUGGGUAACCUGCCCCAAAGCGGGGGAUAACAUUUGGAAACAGAUGCUAAUACCGCAUAACCACAGAAACCACAUGGUUUCUGUGUCAAAGAUGGUUUCGGCUAUCACUUUGGGAUGGACCCGCAGCGUAUUAGCUAGUUGGUAAGGUAAUGGCUUACCAAGGCAAUGAUACGUAGCCGAACUGAGAGGUUGAUCGGCCACAUUGGGACUGAGACACGGCCCAAACUCCUACGGGAGGCAGCAGUAGGGAAUCUUCCACAAUGGACGAAAGUCUGAUGGAGCAACGCCGCGUGAGUGAAGAAGGUUUUCGGAUCGUAAAACUCUGUUGUCAGAGAAGAACGUGUGCGAGAGUAACUGUUCGUGCAGUGACGGUAUCUGGCCAGAAAGCCACGGCUAACUACGUGCCAGCCGCCGCCGUAA